CUGUUCAUAAGCUGCCCCAGCUGCACUCUCACGGUGGGGAUGUCACUGGAGGCUCGUUGAAUCACAGCCUUGUCCUCCUUGGGGGCCGGCUACUGGCUCCUUUUAUGUAUCGUCGGGGAUGCAAAUGCUGGUGGGGCGGACGGGUGCGCAGGGGGAAGGCAUGUUUUGCUGCCUGAAUUUUGGGAAAUCACACAGCAAAGAUGCAUCCGAGCCUGGCAUUGUCGCUCUGCCAAGGCACCCCUUGACGGACGUGUUCCGAUCAGAGCUGUCUGCCCCACGGGAAAAGAAUCAGCUUUCUAUCAAGUGGACUCUGGGCAUCGCCCCAGAGAGCUGCAGCUCCAAAGGACCCGGAGAGACCCGCAGACGACCGAGAGGGGCUGACGUGGAGUGUCCCCCGCCUGGAUGGCAUCCCUGGAAAAGGCUGGAGUGUUUCUACAGAGGCUGUUCAGACAUCACAUCACAGUCCCAGACGGCCGAGAGGUUCUUGCACUCACUUGGCUGCCCUCCCUGGGAAAUGCUUUGGAUCAGACAGCACUUCUGGGUUGUUUUUGCCUGAGGAAAGUGGCUCACAGCAUCACCCUCACCCUUGCUCUGAGAAGCCGUCAUGAAAUCAAUGCAGCUUUGGAAAGGAAGGAACGUGGCAAAUCCCUAAUCACACCUCACCUUUAAAUACGGUCUUUGACCAUAUUAGGACCAGAAUUUCAUAUAUGCUCCCUAAUUUAUUCUUUUCCUUCACAACUGAACACACAGGCCACUGGCUUGAAUCCAGGGCGCGUUUGAUCGAGGCUACAUAUUCCCCCACUUUCGGCACGCCUAAUGAUUUCCAUCUUUGUCUCAAUUGUGUUUAUGAGACCUGCCCUUAUCGCCAGCAUCGGCGCUUCAUUUUUCCAUUUUCCACUCAUUCUUAUAAAAUAACAAGGUCAAAAUGCAAUACAAUAUUCAAAUACUUGUGCAAACACUGCUGAACAGCUAAAAGGGGAUGCUGCUGAGACCAAACUCUGGGCCACCAGGCAGCAUUUCCAUGCGAUCGCUUCAAAUGUCAGCUCACCUGCCAACCUGGGAGAGCUCAAAACCCGCGGGUGGAGCCAGGGGUCGGGGUGGUGGUGGUGGCGUAGACCAACGUAGAGCGUAUAAAAAAGCGUGCACCAAAGUGAAAGGUACAAGGUGAAGGUCCCCCUCUGAAGCUCGGCGGGGUAUAAAUCCUGCCACCUCCAGCCAAGAGGCCCAGGCGCUACCAUGCAAAGGGGCUGUUGGUGACGGCUUUUCUCCAGGCGGGUUGUGUUGUCUCACAGACCUGCGCCAGUAUACCUUCCAACGUCUCUGAGUCUGCAGGUGUGUGCGUGAAGGGAAGGGGGUUUAGGGACCACCAUCCUGUUUUCCUAAUCUGCACACUCAUCACAGAGGGAAGUCAAUUCUGGGUAACACUUUCGCAAACAACUCGGCUGCAGGCCGAUCUGCAGGCAGGGGGCCUGGGGGCUGUUAUCAUCUCCAGAGAUAGGGGGCUUACCGGCCGACAGAGUGGUGAAAGGACACUUAGUGUUGCUUGAAGACAUUCCUAAGAAGACAGAGGAGCGCCUGGAAACAGACACCCAGGAUUUCGCUGCCGCUUAGCAACCCUGGCAGCCGGACGUGACUCGUGUCUCUAAGCUUGCGGCUCGUGUAGCCCCAGCACACUCAGCAGUUCUGAGGGAUAUACGGAGAAGAGAUUCAUCGUCUCUCCUCAGCUGUGGAAAUACCAAGAACCUUUCCUCAAAGUUUCUCGCUCUUGGAUCAGAAUCCUUUAUGUGGGAAGGAUUUGUGAGGAAGCGGUAGGUGAAAACUUUGUCUUUAUUCCAUGCCCAACAAGCUCUGUUAGAAGGGAAAGACUCCAGUCGUGGGCACAAGAGACCUGGCCUCCAGGCCCACCUCAGCCCUGCCUUCCUGAGUGGUUCUGGACAGGUUCCUUCACCUGCAAAACAAGAAGGGGGGGGUCUAUAUGAGCUCUCAGCUGGAAUACUCACAGUAUUGGUGAAUUGAGACAACACGUGAAAUGUGAAUCAAAGCAGGAGUUAAAAAAAUACACUUCAGGAAAUAUUUAUGGUCUUCACAGCUAGAAACGUGACCAAAGCAACGUAAGUCAACCCUGAGAUUUAUAACAAACCAUGAGGUCAGAUCUGGGGGCUCCCAGUCAGGCCUAGAACAACCACAACAAGACUGCAAAAUCCUUUGCUUCUGAAUCAAAUCCUCCCAAGCCAUUUCCUCCUCUUUCAAGUGCCCUGGAUGGAAGGGUCGCUCACCACCACCCUUCAAGAUUCUGAGGGGGAUGGGGGCUUUGGUCACAAGUUCAAAUAAGAAAACCUCCUUUUGAUUAAGCUGAAGUCCAAGCACACUUUAUAGAGUGGCUAAGGCCCACGUUCUGUGUUUUGCUUGAAGUUUCCAAGACCUCGUCUGAAAGGCAGUGUCCCUUUACCCUUAAACAAGAAAAUGGGAAAGGGGGUGGGGGGGGGGGUGUUGUGAUUUUUACUUUGCAAACCUUCCCAGUGCAGGAACUCCUGUUCUGCAAGUGCAGGUAAACAACACCUGAGCUGGGAAGG
Neofelis nebulosa (Clouded leopard) is the source of this 2573-nucleotide long non-coding RNA. RefSeq lists it as uncharacterized. The transcript has 3 exons. Lineage: Eukaryota; Metazoa; Chordata; Mammalia; Carnivora; Felidae. The record is from RefSeq and is a predicted model, not a curated record.